Molecule: unclassified non-coding RNA, 326 nt
Filed under: Commiphora marlothii
Lineage: Eukaryota; Viridiplantae; Streptophyta; Magnoliopsida; Sapindales; Burseraceae
Description: partial miscellaneous RNA
Source: RNAcentral
CCUUCGCGACGCCGACGCCCGCAUGACGCCCGACGGGCCGUGAGGCCGCGGGCUCAAGACGGGCACGGCGGUCGUUCGCGUCGAGGGACAACGUACGUUGCUCGGGCGCACGGAGCCUGUGAUGACAGACCCCACGCCCGCGCGUAACGUUCCGCAUCCGAGAGAACGGGCAGUGCACACCGUGGGCCGAGGCAGCCGAGCGAGGCUUGCCGGGAACACGGGGUGUGCCUCAUGUCCGCCCCGCAACCCGCGAGGGCCGGGGGCGGAGAGGGACGAACGAGACCGUCGGAUUCCUUUCGAAAGGUAAGCAACACAGGAUACCGAAA